CCCUUAGAUGUCCUGGGCCGCACGCGCGCUACACUGAGUGUCUGAGAUACGAGUCUGCCUGGUCCGGCAAGGUCUAGGUAAUCGCUAAAAGACACAUCAUGCUUGGGAUAGAUUAUUGCAAAUAUUAAUCUUGAACGAGGAAUUCCUAGUAAGCGCAAGUCAACAGCUUGCGUUGAUUACGUCCCUGCCCUUUGUACACACCGCCCGUCGCACCUACCGAUUGAAUGGUUCGGUGAAGAUCUCGGACUUCGAUAUUUAUUCUUUAUUGAGUUUAUAUUGUGGGAAGUUAUCUAAACCUCAUCAUUUAGAGGAAGGUGAAGUCGUAACA
Molecule: ribosomal RNA, 328 nt
Filed under: uncultured eukaryote
Lineage: Eukaryota
Description: partial 18S ribosomal RNA
Rfam family: Eukaryotic small subunit ribosomal RNA
Source: RNAcentral